Molecule: small nucleolar RNA, 218 nt
Organism: Xiphophorus couchianus (Monterrey platyfish)
Lineage: Eukaryota; Metazoa; Chordata; Actinopteri; Cyprinodontiformes; Poeciliidae
Source: Ensembl
AAGACUAUACUUUUAGGGAUCAUUUCUAUAGUUUUUGACUUGAGAAAUGUGAUUCUAAUCUGUAUGGUCUCGCUAACCACGAUGAAGAGUCGUGAUAUUCCCUUCUGAGCGUGAAGCGGAUAGAGAAUAAUGAUUUAUUUCAUACGUUUUCUAUCAUUGAUGAUCGUUCUUUACUUCCUUUGUGGAGUGAUGAGGAAGGGAAUAUGGUCAGAGUGGUU